Long non-coding RNA from Lemur catta (Ring-tailed lemur), 790 nucleotides. RefSeq lists it as uncharacterized. Lineage: Eukaryota; Metazoa; Chordata; Mammalia; Primates; Lemuridae. The record is from RefSeq and is a predicted model, not a curated record. The transcript has 3 exons.
GACAGGGAGUGCAAGAGCAGCAGAGCCAGGGCCAUCUGAAGGGCACUGAAAGAACGACCAGCCCCCAGAGCACGUGGCUUCUACGCUGGGCUCCCUGACCACCAACCCACUGCUGGAGAGGGGAGGCAAGCACAGAAGAGCUGCCAGGAAGCUGACCUUACAGGGCACGUUUUUCACAAAGAUGGAACUAGAAGGACACACAGAAGCGCCCAAGUGCUCCUGUGCGCACGAGCACCUCGCAAGCCCAUCUUGAGCCGGCUCCUUGUCCCCGAGAGCUUUCUCACUCCCACAGCUGCAAGGCUCACCCCUGACAGAGCGACUCCAAAGUUUCUCCAGCAACCUUCAAUGGCACAUUCCCACCAGCCCUGCAUGAAUGAUCCUCGCUGUCCCCAAAUCCAUCUUUAAAACUGACCCCACAGCUGCUCUUCUACCAACCCUGCUUCUCUCUCCAACUCAGGUGGCUGGUUUCCUGUCGCGCUCAAUGGAAAUGGACAAUAUGCCGCUCUGUUAACGGUCACAGUGACAGCAUUUGCGCCUUAAGAACUUACUGAUUGGAGUUGUGGUCAUCGGCUGGUAGACCAGCGAGGGAGAAGCACCCAGACACAAAGGAACCCAUUGGAACAUGUAUAACUAGUUCACUUUACCCAAUAUGGUGAGACCCCCAGCCCACUACCAAGCAAACAGGAGAGGCCAGUGAACACAGAUGGAAUGCUAAGAAUAUGUGCUUGUUUUAUUUAUCACUUUCCUUUUGUAAAUAUCAUACUUCUUAAUAAUAAAAUUAGAAAAUGUU